CACAGCAUAGGUUUCUGACACAGAAUGAAUGUGGUCUAAUGAACUUAAAAGUUUUUUUUUGCCUUUGAGCAAUUCACUAUGCUGUUGAAUAUUAAUCCUCUCAAAAAAAUGUUUGAAGAAAUUUUCUUUUUAUUUAUGAAAUCUGAAAUGAGAAAAAUUUAACCCCCCCCCUUUUUUUUCACAUCCCCGUUUCCCUUUUUCCAAAACUGAUAUCAAUUCAAAUUUCUAAUGGAGUUUGCAACAAUAACUACUCAUUUAAAUACAUCAUAAAAUAUUAAGAUGUAAAAAAACUGCUUGUUAUCACUGAAUGGUAAAGAUUAUUUAAAUUUAUCAGUUGGUAGUAAAAAGUGAAUAUACAUUGUAUAUUGUAUAUAACAAAGAUUUAAG
RNAcentral lists this long non-coding RNA (387 nucleotides) under Mytilus galloprovincialis (Mediterranean mussel). Lineage: Eukaryota; Metazoa; Mollusca; Bivalvia; Mytilida; Mytilidae. The record is from RNAcentral.